CAGUCGCCGCGGUAAGACGGAGGAUGCAAGCGUUAUCCGGAAUGAUUGGGCGUAAAGCGUCUGUAGGUGGUUUAUUAAGUCUACUGUUAAAGAUCAGGGCUUAACCCUGAGUCGGCAGUAGAAACUAAUGAGCUUGAGUACGGUAGGGGCAGAGGGAAUUCCCGGUGUAGCGGUGAAAUGCGUAGAGAUCGGGAAGAACACCAAUGGCGAAAGCACUCUGCUGGGCCGAAACUGACACUCAGAGACGAAAGCUAGGGGAGCGAAUGGGAUUAGAUACCCCCGUAGUCCCUGUCUCUUAUAC
Molecule: ribosomal RNA, 301 nt
Filed under: uncultured bacterium
Lineage: Bacteria
Description: partial 16S ribosomal RNA
Rfam family: Bacterial small subunit ribosomal RNA
Source: RNAcentral